RNAcentral lists this ribosomal RNA (253 nucleotides) under uncultured bacterium. RNAcentral describes it as "partial 16S ribosomal RNA". It matches the Rfam family "Bacterial small subunit ribosomal RNA", at positions 524 to 776 of the family's 1533-position model. The record is from RNAcentral.
UACGUAGGGUGCAAGCGUUGUCCGGAAUUAUUGGGCGUAAAGAGCUCGUAGGCGGUUUGUCGCGUCUGCUGUGAAAACUCGGGGCUUAACCCCGGGCCUGCAGUCGAUACGGGCAGACUAGAGUGCUGUAGGGGAGACUGGAAUUCCUGGUGUAGCGGUGAAAUGCGCAGAUAUCUGGAGGAAUACCGGUGGCGAAGGCGGCGUUCUGGACCAUUACUGACACUGAAGCGCGAAAGCUAGGGGAGCAAACGGG